Molecule: ribosomal RNA, 495 nt
Filed under: uncultured bacterium
Lineage: Bacteria
Description: partial 16S ribosomal RNA
Rfam family: Bacterial small subunit ribosomal RNA
Source: RNAcentral
GACGAACGCUGGCGGCGUGCCUAAUACAUGCAAGUAGAACGCUGAAGGAGGAGCUUGCUCUUCUGGAUGAGUUGCGAACGGGUGAGUAACGCGUAGGUAACCUGCCUGGUAGCGGGGGAUAACUAUUGGAAACGAUAGCUAAUACCGCAUAACAGUAGAUGUUGCAUGACAUUUACUUAAAAGGUGCAAUUGCAUCACUACCAGAUGGACCUGCGUUGUAUUAGCUAGUUGGUGGGGUAACGGCUCACCAAGGCGACGAUACAUAGCCGACCUGAGAGGGGGAUCGGCCAGACUGGGACUGAGACACGGCCCAGACUCCUACGGGAGGCAGCAGUAGGGAAUCUUCGGCAAUGGACGGAAGUCUGACCGAGCAACGCCGCGUGAGUGAAGAAGGUUUUCGGAUCGGAAAGCUCUGUUGUAAGAGAAGAAAGAGUGUGAGAGUGGAAAGUUCACAGUGUGACGGUAUCUUACCAGAAAGAGACGGCUAACUACGUG